UUGCUUUCACAGCAGGUAUAGUAAAAUCCGAACAGUAGAGAGAUCAGCAUGGCCCCUGUGCAAGCAUGAUACAAAGAAUUAAAAAACAACAGCAAGAGCU
This 100-nucleotide small nuclear RNA is filed under the name Nannospalax galili (Upper Galilee mountains blind mole rat). The record is from RNAcentral. Lineage: Eukaryota; Metazoa; Chordata; Mammalia; Rodentia; Spalacidae.